GUUAAUCUGAUGAAGAGAAUUAGUAACUCAAUGGUACUAUUAAUAGAGAGCUGACUGUGGUGGAAUGUCGGUAGUAGGAGUUGGGCGAAUGGGUCUUGGAGGAGUGGAUCGAAAUAAUAGUAGACUUCACCGUGGGCUGCACGUUAUAGCGGAUAGGGAAUGAUUGUUCCUGAUAAUGAGAUAUGUAUAGGUUUGUAAUUGUAUUUGACAGCAACAGACUGGUACAUAAUUUAGGUGGCAACGCGAAUUUAUACUUCGCCCUAUAU
Molecule: non-coding RNA, 266 nt
Filed under: Peptostreptococcus anaerobius
Lineage: Bacteria; Bacillati; Bacillota; Clostridia; Peptostreptococcales; Peptostreptococcaceae
Description: T-box sequence
Rfam family: T-box leader
About the family: Uncharged tRNA acts as the effector for transcription antitermination of genes in the T-box leader family. T-boxes are found upstream of many aminoacyl-tRNA synthetase genes and some amino acid biosynthetic genes usually in Gram-positive bacteria. The anticodon of a specific tRNA base pairs to a specifier sequence within the T-box motif, and the NCCA acceptor tail of the tRNA base pairs to a conserved bulge in the T-box antiterminator hairpin.
Source: RNAcentral